GUCGUAACUGAUUUUCCAUCAGCGGAUUUGAUUAAACCUGAAGAUGUCCUAUCAGAUUUUGGAUUUCGUCUUCCUUGCAAAGCAGUUGGUUCUUCACCUUUGCAGCACAAAUGGAAACUGAACGGACAGGACAUUGAGAAUGACUUUCACUUUAACAUCAUGAAGGACGGGACUCUCAAGGGAAGAUAACUUGAUGAUACUCACAGCGGAAUUUACCAGUGCUUCGUGAAAAACAGCUUCGGUGAGGAUUUCAGCAGAAAGUUGAAAGUCCGUGUUACAGUCGCCGGUCAAUUUCACUACGACAACGACAAAAACGCCCCAGUCACGCUUGGAAAACCUAUUGAAAUUCCUUGUCCGGACCACGACCCUAGUUUUGGUGUGAGGUAUCGCUGGGGCUUUUAUGAUUCUUCAGAUCCUUAUGCAUUCUAUCCUCUUCCCGAGGACAACCGUACAGCGGUUACAAUGGACGGAACACUUGUGAUCAUGUUUGUGAAGAAAGAAGACGUAAAAAAAGUGAAUGACAGGAAAGGAAUAGCUUGCGAGAUGUCGAUAAGUGAGGCGGCAAGAUACUCACAUGCGGUCAAAUUUCAUCUUACUGGAAAUGAAUCAACCGAAAAGGUAUCACCAGUUAUUUAUUUUGCACCGAAACACCUUGAAGAAGCUAGAGAAGGAUAUCCGAAGAAACUUCAUUGUUUGGCCGU
Molecule: long non-coding RNA, 701 nt
Organism: Stylophora pistillata
Lineage: Eukaryota; Metazoa; Cnidaria; Anthozoa; Scleractinia; Pocilloporidae
Source: RefSeq, a predicted model, not a curated record